CUUCAUUCCUUUGCAGACUGACUUCCCUCGAGUGGGGGAGGACCUCCCAGUGAGGCCUGUGAGUGCACACAGCUGUGAGCAGUGAGCUGGGCUGCACUCUGCGAGCCGCUGGCCGGUGGUUCCUGGCCUGCUCUGUUGAUGAGGGAGGUGAGAUCUCAUACCUUCCUGCUCCACACUGGGAGACUACAGUAUUCCUGUGUAUGAAUUUGUUACGGGACAUCAGUCCAGGUGCUUGCCGCACAACAGGCCAAUUCACACCAAGAGACAAGGCGCCGAGGCAAGGAAGGUGACUAGAGAAAAGCCAGCAGGACAAGAAGAUGGAGGACUCUUACCCCAAGUCGUCCGUGUCUGUUGGGAAGCUGGCUGAGGAGUGAUUUAUAUCAGCAGGCGAUGGGUGUUCCCAGACCGGUGGGCACCUUCACACAGCAGGUGGGCCAGAGAAGCGAUCUGAGGCUAAUCGCCUAGUCAUGAGAUGCUUUUCAGUUCUGCAGAUGUCAGGGAAAAGAUUAUGACGGGCUAUUCUUUCCAUGUACGGCAUACAGACCAUCACCAAACUUUUCACAAUGAAAGAGAACGUACUUCACCUGACGUGGAGAUCAGGAGACCCAGCUUAAGUGCCACCUCCCCCAGGGAGCUGCUUCUUCCUGCUCUCCAGUGACCUGCACAGUUCCAGCAGAAUCCAGGCCUGGCUUGUGACCUAGGAAGGGAAGUGGCCAGCUGAAAACACUGCCCUGGAGAAACCAAAGCCACCACUGCCACGAAGGCAGCCCUCUUUCCUC
Molecule: long non-coding RNA, 779 nt
Filed under: Heterocephalus glaber (naked mole-rat)
Lineage: Eukaryota; Metazoa; Chordata; Mammalia; Rodentia; Bathyergidae
Description: lncRNA (ENSHGLG00100035663.1)
Source: RNAcentral